AUUGAACGCUGGCGGCAGGCCUAACACAUGCAAGUCGAGCGGAGCGGCGGACGGGUGAGUAAUGCCUAGGUAUCUGCCUGGUAGUGGGGGAUAACGUCCGGAAACGGGCGCUAAUACUGCAUACUUUUAGAUCAGCCUAGGUCGGAUUAGCUAGUUGGUGGGGUAAAGGCCUACCAAGGCGACGAUCCGUAACUGGCCUGAGAGGAUGAUCAGUCACACUGGAACUGGGACAAGGUCCAGACUCCUACGGGAGGCAGCAGUGGGGAAUAUUGGACAAUGGGCGAAAGCCUGAUCCAGCCAUGCCGCGUGUGUGAAGAAGGUCUUCGGAUUGUAAAGCACUUUAAGUUGGGAGGCGUUACCAGCAGAAGAAGCACCGGCUAACUUCGUGCCAGCAGCCGCGGUAAUAC
RNAcentral lists this ribosomal RNA (407 nucleotides) under uncultured bacterium. RNAcentral describes it as "partial 16S ribosomal RNA". It matches the Rfam family "Bacterial small subunit ribosomal RNA", at positions 30 to 526 of the family's 1533-position model. The record is from RNAcentral.